CCUGGGGCUGUAGUAGGUCCCAAGGGUUGGGCUGUUCGCCCAUUAAAGUGGUACGCGAGCUGGGUUCAGAACGUCGUGAGACAGUUCGGUCCCUAUCCGUCGCAGGCGUAGGAAAUUUGAGAAGGCCUGUCCUUAGUACGAGAGGACCGGGAUGGACGUACCUCUGGUGUACCAGUUGUCCUGCCAAGGGCAUGGCUGGGUAGCUAUGUACGGAAUGGAUAAGCGCUGAAAGCAUCUAAGCGCGAAGCCAAC
This 252-nucleotide ribosomal RNA is filed under the name Clostridioides difficile. Its description in RNAcentral is "partial 23S ribosomal RNA". It matches the Rfam family "Bacterial large subunit ribosomal RNA", at positions 2546 to 2797 of the family's 2925-position model. Lineage: Bacteria; Bacillati; Bacillota; Clostridia; Peptostreptococcales; Peptostreptococcaceae. The record is from RNAcentral.